RNAcentral lists this ribosomal RNA (434 nucleotides) under uncultured bacterium. RNAcentral describes it as "bacterial SSU rRNA". It matches the Rfam family "Bacterial small subunit ribosomal RNA", at positions 917 to 1350 of the family's 1533-position model. The record is from RNAcentral.
GGGCCCGCACAAGCGGUGGAGCAUGUGGUUUAAUUCGACGCAACGCGAAGAACCUUACCAGGUCUUGACAUCCUGCGAACUUUCUAGAGAUAGAUUGGUGCCUUCGGGAACGCAGUGACAGGUGCUGCAUGGCUGUCGUCAGCCCGUGUCGUGAGAUGUUGGGUUAAGUCCCGUAACGAGCGCAACCCUUGUCCUUAGUUGCCAGCACAUUAUGGUGGGAACUCUAAGGAGACUGCCGGUGACAAACCGGAGGAAGGUGGGGACGACGUCAAGUCAUCAUGGCCCUUACGACCUGGGCUACACACGUGCUACAAUGGCCAGUACAGAGGGCUGCUAACCCGUGAGGGGGCGCUAAUCUCACAAAGCUGGUCGUAGUCCGGAUCGCAGUCUGCAACUCGACUGCGUGAAGGCGGAAUCGCUAGUAAUCGCAGGUC